Oreochromis aureus is the source of this 1004-nucleotide long non-coding RNA. The record is from Ensembl. Lineage: Eukaryota; Metazoa; Chordata; Actinopteri; Cichliformes; Cichlidae.
CCCUGCUGAGUCAGCAUGCAUGGAAGCGUUCUUUGUUUGCGUCCAGAGUGAAGUGAACGCUUCUGUCUGAUCGCUUUUAUUCGAGCCAUUUUCUGUUCACUGCUUCUGAACGGUUUUGUUUGAGCUCCCAACAGAAGGACAGACACUAAUAUCUGAAAAACUACUUUUGCUCAAAUAAAAUACUCCGAGGAGAUAGGAGGCUGAGGUACACAGUCGCCUCCUAGUGCCCUUCCAAGUUUCCUACAUUUCCUUCCAGAAACCUCCUGAUAGUACAAACAAGAACUCAGUGCGCAGCUGCCCACCCAACAUGGUUUGAUGCAUGGAGAUUGGAUACAUCAGCAUCCGCAGGAACUAAAGUAGAAACCCGGGAAUACUUCUCCUGUCGGCCGUCAGCACUAGCCCCGUGCCUUGCCUUCACACCGUGCGGGUGCUCGAGUAGCCAGGUGAGCUCGUCUCUUUGUGAUCAGGAAAGCAAAGGAAACACACAGUGCUCAUCCCAGGAGUUUACAAUUGACCGGUAUCUCUGAGGGCUUUGAGAGUGUGACCGCAUGAACAAAUGCAGAGCACGGUGCAUUGUCAUCCUGCAGUCCAGCUUUGUCCAGCCACUGGUAGGAUUUCUGGAUAUCAGCCACCUCUGCUAUCUGCCGGGGGUACAUACUGUGCAGGGGCCUGUCCUUCCAUGAUGGUUCCUCGCCUUCCUCCUCUUUCUUGGGUUUCUGCUGCCUGAGGUAUUCACUGAGCACGCUGUCAGUUGGGGCCACCUUACUGAUGUGUUCGUAGAUGUUCGUUGUCUCAUCCUGGACUGUGGUGCUGACACUCACCAGUCCGCCGCCUCCUUCCUUCUGCUUAGCGUACAGCCUCAGGGUGCUGGACUUGGGGUGAAACCUUCCAUGCAUGGUAAGGAGCUUUCUUGUCUUUAUGUCAGUGGCUUCUGUCUCCUCCUUUGGCCAGCUUAUUAUCCCAGCAGGGUACCUGAUCACGGCAGGGCGUAGGUGUUGAUGGCC